This is a microRNA precursor of Oryza sativa Japonica Group (Japanese rice), 193 nucleotides long. It matches the Rfam family "MIR812 microRNA precursor family". Lineage: Eukaryota; Viridiplantae; Streptophyta; Magnoliopsida; Poales; Poaceae. The record is from Rfam.
AAAAAAGACGAACCUGAGUUUCUGUGUCCAACGUUUGACUGUCCGUCUUAUAUGAAAUUAUUUUAUAAUUAGCAUUUUCAUUAUUUUUAGAUGAUAAAACAUGAUUAAUACUUUAUGCGUGACUUGUCUUUUUUUUUCAUAACUUUUUUAAAUAGUUAAAUAUUGGACACGGAAACUCAGGAUUUGUCUUUUU